CUCCUCUCUCCCUUUGACAGAAUCUAGGUCCUUUUCCUUAAUCAGGGAGAUAAGGAUGUGGGAGAUACUGUCUGAGGCCUCCGGAUCUCCCUCCCGGCAGCUCAGUGGGCACUGAUGGUCAUGCCCUGUUAUCUCCUUUUGCCAAGACUUCAGGGCCCAGCUGAGAUGUCAGUGUUGGGAGAUAAAAAUCCAUGCCCGUUUCAGCAGACCCUGUUCUGACCGGCAGAGGCUGCCAGGAGUUUACUGAAAGCCCUCCAGCUGAGUACACAGCCCCCGGGGAGCAGGAAUGGGCAGAGGGGCAGCUGAACCCCAGCCAGCGCUGCUGGGAAGAAGACGGAGGAGAGAGCACAGGGGCGUCCAGCACGUCUGCCACUAACAGGGGGGAGCCCGGCAGCUGGCUUGCAGCUGUUUCUUAGCUCCAAGGAGCCUCGCCUCUGGAAUGAUCCUUUGCAGUGGCUUGGGCAACCCGGGCCAAGGAGCUUGCAGCCUCAGAGGUGGUGAGGCUUCAGUGGAGAAGGACAGGGCAAGUUCUGAGGUAGCAUGGAACGUCGUCACCCUCCACUGAGUGUCCUUGAAAGCUUGUCAGCCUGCUGAGGUUGGGGGUUUUUUCCCUCUGUCCUCUAAGAAUCAAGGUCCUGGUCCUCCCCUCUUCUUGCCCAAGUGACCUCGGGGCCACCUCUCUGGUUCCUGACGCCUCUUUGUGCCCUUCUCCACACACCCCAUCCCACUUGGGGAGCUUCUGUUCUGGUUGGAAUCCUUGGUUUCCCCAGGGGGACAGAGCAAGCUCCCCUACAGCAGGGGAGGGAGGGACAGCCUCAGAGUCUGCCCAUGAGCCACAAGGACCCCGGCUGCCCCAGACUGGACUAUUCCAAAUCACCAAAGAGGAGGUUUCCCAGAGCUGGUCCCCAGCAAUCCCGAGGGACUAGAGGGCUAGGAUGGACUGACCUCCCCCUCAGUGGGGGGGCUGGAGACGCACAGCCCCUGUGGCCCAGCUAGUGGCAGGUCCGGAGGAAGCUGCCACCAGAGUCUCAGUGGCAGGAAGCCACAAUUGCCUGAUUUGUUUUCUCUCACCUCUGAGGGAGAGAAGGGGGUUUCCCCCCCGUUGGCCUCUCCCUUCCUUAUCGCGGCUUGGGCCUCUAUGCUCUUUCUUUGUGGAGCCAGACCAGGUGGGCAGCGCUGGGGCCAGCUGGUGAGGGAGGGACCCCGGUGACCCCCGCCCCCACAGGGGGUC
RNAcentral lists this long non-coding RNA (1231 nucleotides) under Phascolarctos cinereus (koala). Its description in RNAcentral is "lncRNA (ENSPCIG00000035458.1)". Lineage: Eukaryota; Metazoa; Chordata; Mammalia; Diprotodontia; Phascolarctidae. The record is from RNAcentral.